Molecule: ribosomal RNA, 1933 nt
Filed under: freshwater metagenome
Description: bacterial LSU rRNA
Rfam family: Bacterial large subunit ribosomal RNA
Source: RNAcentral
UCAAGCGAAUAAGUGCAUGUGGUGGAUGCCUUGGCGAUUACAGGCGAAGAAAGACGUGGCAGCCUGCGAAAAGCUGCGGGGAGCUGGCAACAAGCUUUGAUCCGCAGAUAUCUGAAUGGGGAAACCCGGCCCUUUGGGUCAUCCUGUACUGAAUACAUAGGUACAGAGAAGCGAACCCGGCGAACUGAAACAUCUAAGUAGCCGGAGGAAAAGAAAUCAACCGAGAUUCCGUAAGUAGUGGCGAGCGAACGCGGAAGAGCCUGCAAACUUUAGCUUCAUUGUUAGUGGAACAGUCUGGAAAGUCUGGCCAUAGUGGGUGAUAGCCCCGUACGCGAAAACAGUGGAGUGGAACUAGGUUUGGAACAAGUAGGGCGGGGCACGAGAAACCCUGUCUGAACAUGGGGGGACCAUCCUCCAAGGCUAAAUACUCGUAAUCGACCGAUAGUGAACCAGUACCGUGAGGGAAAGGCGAAAAGAACCCCGGAAGGGGAGUGAAAUAGAACCUGAAACCGCAUGCAUACAAACAGUGGGAGCCCGCAAGGGUGACUGCGUACCUUUUGUAUAAUGGGUCAGCGACUUACAUUCAGUAGCGAGCUUAACCGAAUAGGGGAGGCGUAGGGAAACCGAGUCUGAUAAGGGCGAUAGUUGCUGGGUGUAGACCCGAAACCAAGUGAUCUAUCCAUGGCCAGGAUGAAGGUGUGGUAACACACACUGGAGGUCCGAACCCACUAACGUUGAAAAGUUAGGGGAUGAGCUGUGGAUAGGGGUGAAAGGCUAAACAAACUUGGAAAUAGCUGGUUCUCUCCGAAAACUAUUUAGGUAGUACCUCAUGUAUCACUCUCGGGGGUAGAGCACUGUCAUGGCUAGGGGUCUAUUGCUGAUUACCAAACCAUUGCAAACUCCGAAUACCGAGAAGUGCGAGCAUGGGAGACAGACAUCGGGUGCUAACGUCCGGUGUCAAGAGGGAAACAACCCAGACCGCCAGCUAAGGUCCCCAAGACACAGUUAAGUGGAAAACGAAGUGGGAAGGCUAAAACAGUCAGGAGGUUGGCUUAGAAGCAGCCAUCCUUUAAAGAAAGCGUAAUAGCUCACUGAUCGAGUCGUCCUGCGCGGAAGAUGUAACGGGGCUCAAACUGUGCACCGAAGCUGCGGAUAUGCGUAAGCAUAUGGUAGGAGAGCGUUCUGUAGGCCUGCGAAGGUGUUCUGUGAAGAAUGCUGGAGGUAUCAGAAGUGCGAAUGCUGACAUGAGUAGCGAUAAAGGGAGUGAAAGGCUCCCUCGCCGAAAGCCCAAGGUUUCCUGCGCAACGUUCAUCGGCGCAGGGUGAGUCGGCCCCUAAGGCGAGGCAGAAAUGCGUAGUCGAUGGGAAACAGGUUAAUAUUCCUGUACCUCAAUACAAUGCGAUGUGGGGACGGAGAAGGUUAGGCAAGCCAGGUGUUGGACGUCCUGGUUUAAGCGUGUAGGCAGAUCUCUUAGGCAAAUCCGGGAGAUUAAUGCUGAGGCGUGAUGACGGUUGCCCUCUGGGCACGAAGUUGCUGAUACCAUGCUUCCAAGAAAAGCCACUAAGCUUCAGUUGUAUUGAGACCGUACCGCAAACCGACACAGGUGGGCAGGAUGAGAAUUCUAAGGCGCUUGAGAGAACUCGGGUGAAGGAACUCGGCAAAUUAGCACCGUAACUUCGGGAGAAGGUGCGCCCUUGUAGGUUGUAGUCCCUCGCGGACGAAGGCCGAAUGGGUUGCAGUGAAAUGGUGGCUGCGACUGUUUAAUAAAAACACAGCACUCUGCAAACACGAAAGUGGACGUAUAGAGUGUGACGCCUGCCCGGUGCUGGAAGAUUAAAUGAUGGGGUGCAAGCUCUUGAUUGAAGUCCCAGUAAACGGCGGCCGUAACUAUAACGGUCCUAAGGUAGCGAAAUUCCUUGUCGGGUAAGUUCCG